Molecule: unclassified non-coding RNA, 237 nt
Filed under: Hevea brasiliensis (rubber tree)
Lineage: Eukaryota; Viridiplantae; Streptophyta; Magnoliopsida; Malpighiales; Euphorbiaceae
Source: RNAcentral
AAGUCUUGUCUUUACAACCCAAAGAGGAUUUGUGAAAAUAGUUGUUGUAGCACCCGCACCAGAAGCAGCUAUCAUAUUUGCACCUAUUGAAAGAUGAUUCUCAUCAUUGGAAGAAAGAAGGCUUUUGAGCUGCUCAUAUAUUGAAAAAUAAACUGCCCAAUUGGGAAGCAAUGCGAGCACGGUAGGACCAAGGCCCCGGUACAUGCCACGUAGCCCUUCCUUCUGGAAUAUUUGUUC